GCCUGGGUGGUUCAGUUGGUUGAGCAUCCAACUUUGGCCCAGGUCAUGAUCUCGAGGGUUGUGAGUUCAAGCCCCACCCUGGGCU
This 85-nucleotide transfer RNA is filed under the name Felis catus (domestic cat). It matches the Rfam family "tRNA". Rfam says of the family: Transfer RNA (tRNA) molecules are approximately 80 nucleotides in length. Their secondary structure includes four short double-helical elements and three loops (D, anti-codon, and T loops). Lineage: Eukaryota; Metazoa; Chordata; Mammalia; Carnivora; Felidae. The record is from Rfam by way of RNAcentral.